GGCCACGGGGCGGGGUGCCUAUACUGCAAGUCGAACGAACUCUGGUAUUGAUUGGUGCUUGCAUCAUGAUUUACAUUUGAGUGAGUGGCGAACUGGUGAGUAACACGUGGGAAACCUGCCCAGAAGCGGGGGAUAACACCUGGAAACAGAUGCUAAUACCGCAUAACAACUUGGACCGCAUGGUCCGAGUUUGAAAGAUGGCUUCGGCUAUCACUUUUGGAUGGUCCCGCGGCGUAUUAGCUAGAUGGUGAGGUAACGGCUCACCAUGGCAAUGAUACGUAGCCGACCUGAGAGGGUAAUCGGCCACAUUGGGACUGAGACACGGCCCAAACUCCUACGGGAGGCAGCAGUAGGGAAUCUUCCACAAUGGACGAAAGUCUGAUGGAGCAACGCCGCGUGAGUGAAGAAGGGUUUCGGCUCGUAAAACUCUGUUGUUAAAGAAGAACAUAUCUGAGAGUAACUGUUCAGGUAUUGACGGUAUUUAACCAGAAAGCCACGGCUAACUACGUGCCAGCAGCCGCGGUAAUACGUAGGUGGCAAGCGUUGUCCGGAUUUAUUGGGCGUAAAGCGAGCGCAGGCGGUUUUUUAAGUCUGAUGUGAAAGCCUUCGGCUCAACCGAAGAAGUGCAUCGGAAACUGGGAAACUUGAGUGCAGAAGAGGACAGUGGAACUCCAUGUGUAGCGGUGAAAUGCGUAGAUAUAUGGAAGAACACCAGUGGCGAAGGCGGCUGUCUGGUCUGUAACUGACGCUGAGGCUCGAAAGUAUGGGUAGCAAACAGGAUUAGAUACCCUGGUAGUCCAUACCGUAAACGAUGAAUGCUAAGUGUUGGAGGGUUUCCGCCCUUCAGUGCUGCAGCUAACGCAUUAAGCAUUCCGCCUGGGGAGUACGGCCGCAAGGCUGAAACUCAAAGGAAUUGACGGGGGCCCGCACAAGCGGUGGAGCAUGUGGUUUAAUUCGAAGCUACGCGAAGAACCUUACCAGGUCUUGACAUACUAUGCAAAUCUAAGAGAUUAGACGUUCCCUUCGGGGACAUGGAUACAGGUGGUGCAUGGUUGUCGUCAGCUCGUGUCGUGAGAUGUUGGGUUAAGUCCCGCAACGAGCGCAACCCUUAUUAUCAGUUG
Molecule: ribosomal RNA, 1121 nt
Filed under: Lactiplantibacillus plantarum
Lineage: Bacteria; Bacillati; Bacillota; Bacilli; Lactobacillales; Lactobacillaceae
Description: bacterial SSU rRNA
Rfam family: Bacterial small subunit ribosomal RNA
Source: RNAcentral